AACGAACGCUGGCGGCAUGCCUAACACAUGCAAGUCGAACGAAACCUUCGGGUCUAGUUGCGCACGUGUGCGUAACGCGUGGGAACCUGCCCUUAGGUUCGGAAUACCUCCCCGAAAGGGGUGCUAAUACCGGAUAAUCUCUUCGGACCAAAGAUUUAUCGCCUUUGGAUGGGCCCGCGUUGGAUUCGCUAGUUGGUAGGGUAAAAGCAUACCAAGGAGACGAUGCAGAGCCGGUCUGAGAGGAUGACCAGCCACACUGGGCAUGAGACACGGCCCAGACUCGUACGGGAGGCAGCAGUGGGGAAUACUGGAGAAUGGGCGAAAGCCUGAUAAAGCAAUGCCGCGGGAGUGAUGAAGGCGUUAGGGUUGUAAAGCUGUUUUACACGAGAUGAGAAUGACAGUAACGGGAGAAUAAGCACCGGCUAACUACGUG
Molecule: ribosomal RNA, 433 nt
Filed under: uncultured bacterium
Lineage: Bacteria
Description: partial 16S ribosomal RNA
Rfam family: Bacterial small subunit ribosomal RNA
Source: RNAcentral